CGAUGCCUGCCCAGUGAACAAUUUAACGGCCGCGGUACCCUAACCGUGCAAAGGUAGCGUAAUCAUUUGUCUAUUAAUUGUAGACCUGUAUGAAAGGCAAAACGAGGGCCUAACUGUCUCUUAUAGUGAAUCAAUUAAACUGAUCUCCCAGUCCAAAAGCUGGGAUACUAACAUAAGACCAGAAGACCCUGUGAAGCUUAAACUAAAAUAUUAAACCCCAUAAUAACUCCUUUCGGUUGGGGCGACCUUGGAAAAAAAAAGAACUUCCAAACACACUGAUUCUACAAUCAUCAACCGGUGGCCGACAAGCCUAACAACGACCCAGUGCACAGCUGAUAAUUGAACCAAGUUACUCCAGGGAUAACAGCGCUAUCUUCUUCAAGAGCCCAUAUCAAAAAGAAGGUUUACGACCUCGAUGUUGGAUCAGGACAUCCUAAUGGUGCAGCCGCUAUUAAGGGUUCGUUUGUUCAACGAUUAACAGUCCUACGUGAUCUGAG
RNAcentral lists this ribosomal RNA (497 nucleotides) under Naja pallida (red spitting cobra). RNAcentral describes it as "partial 16S ribosomal RNA". It matches the Rfam family "Bacterial large subunit ribosomal RNA", at positions 1853 to 2609 of the family's 2925-position model. Lineage: Eukaryota; Metazoa; Chordata; Lepidosauria; Squamata; Elapidae. The record is from RNAcentral.